AUGAAGCCGAUUUGUAGGCUGUCCGAGGAACCGGUGCAGCUUGUUGUAGAUCUACUGCAUGAGGGUACUGGGGAAUGGAAUACAGAGCUACUUCACAAACUGUUCAUUCGGUCAGAUGUCGACAAGAUUCAGAACAUACCAAGACCAAGAACGGAGGAGGCAGAGUACUGGGCAUGGGCGUGGGAGCGAUCGGGCUCUUUCUCUGUCAGAUCGGCCUACAGGGAGAUCAAACAGAUGCAGUUUAAUGGUCAGAGUGGGCCAAGCAGCUCUUUAGGCGAUGAGGAUACAUGGAAGAGAUUAUGGAAAUUGAAUGUUCAGCCAAAAAUCCGUGUCUUUUGGUGGAGGGUGAUAAAAGGGUUCCUGCCGGCAAAGGCGGAGCUCAUGCGGAGACACAUUGGUGAUGACGCAAUCUGUGAUAUGUGUGCAACAAUGAUGAAAGAACAUAUAAGAUCUCUUGACAUCCCGUCCACGCAGCAACCUGUACAACGUCAGAUAGCUAAAUGGACAUCCCCAUUAGAGGGGGUGGUGCAACUUCAUUCAGAUGUAGCGAUCGAUGUGGUACAGGGAAGGGCGGGCACGACUGUUAUUGCAAGAGAUCAUGAAGGACACUUCCUCGGGGGAAGAUAUACCCCAUAUAAUGGGAGCACAGACCUGUAUGUGUGCGAAGCAUUGGGGUGCAGAGGCGCUAUGGUAUUAGCAAAGGAGAAACGCUGCACUAGGGUUGAGGUCAUCUCGGAUUGCAAGACAGUGGUGGAAGACUGGAAUGCAAGAAGUGACCGAUCGGUUUGUGUCCCUAUAUCCAGAGAGAUGGCUUCAUAUCUCUCGCUUUUUCAGGGUUGUGAGAUGAAGUUCAGAGGAAGAGAAGCAAAUUCAGCUGCACAUGUAUUGGCUAGGCAUGGACGGUCCACUAGCUCCAAUUAUGUAACCUUUGAUGCUAUCCCUGAAUUCUUAUGUGCGACCUUGCACUUAGUUAUGUACGAUCGAUAA
RNAcentral lists this ribosomal RNA (987 nucleotides) under Triticum aestivum (bread wheat). RNAcentral describes it as "partial small subunit ribosomal RNA". The record is from RNAcentral. Lineage: Eukaryota; Viridiplantae; Streptophyta; Magnoliopsida; Poales; Poaceae.